This 818-nucleotide long non-coding RNA is filed under the name Serinus canaria (Common canary). Its description in RNAcentral is "lncRNA (ENSSCAG00000003521.1)". The record is from RNAcentral. Lineage: Eukaryota; Metazoa; Chordata; Aves; Passeriformes; Fringillidae.
CUCAAAUUUGAGGGAGGUGAUGGAAGACAUUAACAGUUCAACAGGUUACUUAAAUAGUCACAGGAUACAAGACUAGACUAUUUUAAUUCAUUUUAAUAUAUUUGAUGGAAUUUGUAUGAGCUCACAGGACUGUGACAGCUCUUCACAGCAUUUCAGUCCUAGGUGCCACAUUUCCUACCACUGGCAUCAGUGGGAGCAGGACUGAAGUGCUCUUUAACACUUGGGGUAAAUUUCAGUCAAGCAGGACCAACACUGCAUUGCAGUCUGAACUGCACAAUGGAAAAGGCUGAACAAAUGUCUUUUUUUUCUUUGCAUAAUUGUGCUUUUCCCUCAGUAACCCGGCCAGCUACUAUGUUUGCUGCUGCAGGUUCAAACAUAGUAGGUUUUAUGCUGUCCAUGUAAAUGCACGCCUUCUUAAGAUGCUUCUUGUUUUAUUUAAUUGAACUCUAAUUAGUACCCCUGUUGAGCAUGCCCCGGUGGCUCCCAGUUCUGCUGCUCCUGCACCACAUGCUUCAGCACCUCAGCCUGCUCCUGCUGCUCCAAACACAGCCAGCCCGAUGGCAGCACCAGCCACCACCUCAGUAGUGCAAGAGGCUUUCUCAUCCUCCUUCCAAAGUUUCAACCGGCAUUCUUCCACCUCCAUCAGCUACCAGUCAAGGCAGAGAAACACAACCCAGUCAUAUACACCAAUGCCAAUUUCUGGAGGCUACAGUGAAAGUCCUGCUCCUUCUGCUGCUUCAAAAAUGAGAGUUGUUACUACUGCCAGCAUAAAGCCCUCUGUCUACCAGCCAGGUAAGGAGCCUUCAAAGUACUGAAAA